AUCCUCUCAGGGUCACACCUGAAGAGUUUCUAGUACUCUACCAGUCUUGGCUAUGGGAGGGAGAGUCAAGCAGAAGCCUACCCAUUCCAUUCCUAGCUUGGCCAGUGGCUAGUGAGUGGAGGCAAUCUGCCACAAGU
Tachyglossus aculeatus (Australian echidna) is the source of this 137-nucleotide small nucleolar RNA. The record is from RefSeq and is a predicted model, not a curated record. Lineage: Eukaryota; Metazoa; Chordata; Mammalia; Monotremata; Tachyglossidae.